This 253-nucleotide ribosomal RNA is filed under the name uncultured bacterium. Its description in RNAcentral is "partial 16S ribosomal RNA". It matches the Rfam family "Bacterial small subunit ribosomal RNA", at positions 524 to 776 of the family's 1533-position model. The record is from RNAcentral.
UACGUAGGCAGCAAGCGUUGUUCGGAGUUACUGGGCGUAAAGCGAGUGUAGGCGGUUUGAUAAGUCGGAUGUGAAAGCCCCGGGCUCAACCCGGGAAGUGCACUCGAUACUGUCAAGCUAGAGUAUCGGAGAGGUUGGUGGAAUUCUCGGUGUAGAGGUGAAAUUCGUAGAUAUCGAGAGGAACACCGGUGGCGAAGGCGGCCAACUGGACGAAUACUGACGCUGAGACUCGAAAGCGUGGGGAGCAAACAGG